RNAcentral lists this transfer RNA (96 nucleotides) under Pylaiella littoralis. Its description in RNAcentral is "transfer RNA-Arg (UCU)". It matches the Rfam family "tRNA". From Rfam's summary of the family: Transfer RNA (tRNA) molecules are approximately 80 nucleotides in length. Their secondary structure includes four short double-helical elements and three loops (D, anti-codon, and T loops). The record is from RNAcentral. Lineage: Eukaryota; Phaeophyceae; Ectocarpales; Acinetosporaceae.
GUUAAACAGUUCUUUUAGUCUAAGGUUUGGCUUAAGGCCUCUAAAGACAUUGUUUUAAAAAAGACAAAGAUACGGGUUCAAAUCCCGUAAAGAACU